Non-coding RNA from Cymbomonas tetramitiformis, 82 nucleotides. The record is from the annotation of a GenBank genome assembly. Lineage: Eukaryota; Viridiplantae; Chlorophyta; Pyramimonadophyceae; Pyramimonadales; Pyramimonadaceae.
GCCCACGUAGUAUUAAGUAUAGUUGGUAGUACGCGACAGCUUGUUCAACGUCAAGACGUGGGUUCGAUUCCCGCCGUGGGCU